AUUGAACGCUGGCGGAAUGCUUUACACAUGCAAGUCGAACGGCAGCACGGACUUCGGUCUGGUGGCGAGUGGCGAACGGGUGAGUAAUACAUCGGAACGUGCCCAGUCGUGGGGGAUAACGUAGCGAAAGCUACGCUAAUACCGCAUACGAUCUAAGGAUGAAAGCGGGGGAUCGCAAGACCUCGCGCGAUUGGAGCGGCCGAUGGCAGAUUAGGUAGUUGGUAGGGUAAAGGCCUACCAAGCCGACGAUCUGUAGCUGGUCUGAGAGGAUGAUCAGCCGCACUGGGACUGGGACACGGCCCAGACUCCUACGGGAGGCGGCAGUGGGGAAUUUUGGACAAUGGGCGCAAGCCUGAUCCAGCCAUUCCGCGUGCAGGAUGAAGGCCUUCGGGUUGUAAACUGCUUUUGUACAGAACGAAAAGGCUCUGGUUAAUACCCGGGGCUCAUGACGGUACUGUAAGAAUAAGCACCGGCUAACUACGUGCCAGCCGCCGCGGUAA
This 500-nucleotide ribosomal RNA is filed under the name uncultured bacterium. RNAcentral describes it as "partial 16S ribosomal RNA". It matches the Rfam family "Bacterial small subunit ribosomal RNA", at positions 30 to 523 of the family's 1533-position model. The record is from RNAcentral.